This 354-nucleotide ribosomal RNA is filed under the name uncultured beta proteobacterium. RNAcentral's name for it is "bacterial SSU rRNA". It matches the Rfam family "Bacterial small subunit ribosomal RNA", at positions 524 to 876 of the family's 1533-position model. Lineage: Bacteria; Pseudomonadati; Pseudomonadota; Betaproteobacteria. The record is from RNAcentral.
UACGUAGGGUGCGAGCGUUAAUCGGAAUUACUGGGCGUAAAGGGUGCGCAGGCGGUUCCGCAAGUCAGGCGUGAAAUCCCCGGGCUUAACCUGGGAAUGGCGCUUGAAACUACGGGACUCGAGUAUGGCAGAGGGAGGUGGAAUUCCACGUGUAGCGGUGAAAUGCGUAGAGAUGUGGAGGAACACCGAUGGCGAAGGCAGCCUCCUGGGCCAAUACUGACGCUCAUGCACGAAAGCGUGGGGAGCAAACAGGAUUAGAUACCCUGGUAGUCCACGCCCUAAACGAUGAUGACUAGUUGUUGGAGGAGUUAAAUCCUUUAGUAACGCAGCUAACGCGAGAAGUCAUCCGCCUGG